This 648-nucleotide ribosomal RNA is filed under the name Salmonella enterica. RNAcentral's name for it is "bacterial SSU rRNA". It matches the Rfam family "Bacterial small subunit ribosomal RNA", at positions 1 to 638 of the family's 1533-position model. Lineage: Bacteria; Pseudomonadati; Pseudomonadota; Gammaproteobacteria; Enterobacterales; Enterobacteriaceae. The record is from RNAcentral.
AAAUUGAAGAGUUUGAUCAUGGCUCAGAUUGAACGCUGGCGGCAGGCCUAACACAUGCAAGUCGAACGGUAACAGGAAGCAGCUUGCUGCUUCGCUGACGAGUGGCGGACGGGUGAGUAAUGUCUGGGAAACUGCCUGAUGGAGGGGGAUAACUACUGGAAACGGUGGCUAAUACCGCAUAACGUCGCAAGACCAAAGAGGGGGACCUUCGGGCCUCUUGCCAUCAGAUGUGCCCAGAUGGGAUUAGCUUGUUGGUGAGGUAACGGCUCACCAAGGCGACGAUCCCUAGCUGGUCUGAGAGGAUGACCAGCCACACUGGAACUGAGACACGGUCCAGACUCCUACGGGAGGCAGCAGUGGGGAAUAUUGCACAAUGGGCGCAAGCCUGAUGCAGCCAUGCCGCGUGUAUGAAGAAGGCCUUCGGGUUGUAAAGUACUUUCAGCGGGGAGGAAGGUGUUGCGGUUAAUAACCGCAGCAAUUGACGUUACCCGCAGAAGAAGCACCGGCUAACUCCGUGCCAGCAGCCGCGGUAAUACGGAGGGUGCAAGCGUUAAUCGGAAUUACUGGGCGUAAAGCGCACGCAGGCGGUCUGUCAAGUCGGAUGUGAAAUCCCCGGGCUCAACCUGGGAACUGCAUUCGAAACUGGCA